RNAcentral lists this ribosomal RNA (253 nucleotides) under uncultured bacterium. Its description in RNAcentral is "partial 16S ribosomal RNA". It matches the Rfam family "Bacterial small subunit ribosomal RNA", at positions 524 to 776 of the family's 1533-position model. The record is from RNAcentral.
UACGAAGGGGGCUAGCGUUGCUCGGAAUCACUGGGCGUAAAGCGCACGUAGGCGGAUCGUUAAGUCAGGGGUGAAAUCCUGGAGCUCAACUCCAGAACUGCCUUUGAUACUGGCGAUCUUGAGUCCGGAAGAGGUGAGUGGAACUCCUAGUGUAGAGGUGGAAUUCGUAGAUAUUAGGAAGAACACCAGUGGCGAAGGCGGCUCACUGGUCCGGUACUGACGCUGAGGUGCGAAAGCGUGGGGAGCAAAGCAG